RNAcentral lists this ribosomal RNA (821 nucleotides) under uncultured bacterium. RNAcentral describes it as "bacterial SSU rRNA". It matches the Rfam family "Bacterial small subunit ribosomal RNA", at positions 73 to 899 of the family's 1533-position model. The record is from RNAcentral.
UGGUUCUUCGGAACCAGAGACCGGCGCACGGGUGCGUAACGCGUAUGCAAUCUACCUUUUACAGAGGGAUAGCCCAGAGAAAUUUGGAUUAAUACCUCAUAGUAUAAUAGUUCGGCAUCGAACAAUUAUUAAAGUCACAACGGUAAAAGAUGAGCAUGCGUCCCAUUAGCUAGUUGGUAAGGUAACGGCUUACCAAGGCUACGAUGGGUAGGGGUCCUGAGAGGGAGAUCCCCCACACUGGUACUGAGACACGGACCAGACUCCUACGGGAGGCAGCAGUGAGGAAUAUUGGACAAUGGGCGCAAGCCUGAUCCAGCCAUGCCGCGUGCAGGAUGACGGUCCUAUGGAUUGUAAACUGCUUUUGUACGGGAAGAAACCCUCCUACGUGUAGGAGCUUGACGGUACCGUAAGAAUAAGGAUCGGCUAACUCCGUGCCAGCAGCCGCGGUAAUACGGAGGAUCCAAGCGUUAUCCGGAAUCAUUGGGUUUAAAGGGUCCGUAGGCGGUUUAGUAAGUCAGUGGUGAAAGCCCAUCGCUCAAUGGUGGAACGGCCAUUGAUACUGCUAGACUUGAAUUAUUAGGAAGUAACUAGAAUAUGUAGUGUAGCGGUGAAAUGCUUAGAGAUUACAUGGAAUACCAAUUGCGAAGGCAGGUUACUACUAAUGGAUUGACGCUGAUGGACGAAAGCGUGGGUAGCGAACAGGAUUAGAUACCCUGGUAGUCCACGCCGUAAACGAUGGAUACUAGCUGUUGGGAGCGAUCUCAGUGGCUAAGCGAAAGUGAUAAGUAUCCCACCUGGGGAGUACGUUCGCAAGAAUGAAA